RNAcentral lists this ribosomal RNA (723 nucleotides) under uncultured bacterium. RNAcentral's name for it is "bacterial SSU rRNA". It matches the Rfam family "Bacterial small subunit ribosomal RNA", at positions 150 to 858 of the family's 1533-position model. The record is from RNAcentral.
CCGGAAACGGUAGCUAAUACCGGAUACGACUUUUCUGCAUAAGCAGUUAAGUUAAAAGGCGGAUUUAUCUGCCGCUCAUGGAUGGGCCUGCGGUGCAUUAGCUAGUUGGUGAGGUAGUGGCUCACCAAGGCGACGAUGCAUAGCCGACCUGAGAGGGUGAUCGGCCACACUGGGACUGAGACACGGCCCAGACUCCUACGGGAGGCAGCAGUAGGGAAUCUUCCGCAAUGGACGCAAGUCUGACGGAGCAACGCCGCGUGAGUGAUGAAGGGUUUCGGCUCGUAAAACUCUGUUGUUAAGGAAGAACACUUGAGGUAGUAACUGGCCUUGAGAUGACGGUACUUAACCAGAAAGCCACGGCUAACUACGUGCCAGCAGCCGCGGUAAUACGUAGGUGGCAAGCGUUAUCCGGAAUUAUUGGGCGUAAAGCGCGCGUAGGCGGUAAAAUAAGUCUGAUGUGAAAGCCCCCGGCUCAACCGGGGAGGGUCAUUGGAAACUGUCUUACUUGAGUACAGAAGAGGAGAGUGGAAUUCCAUGUGUAGCGGUGAAAUGCGCAGAGAUAUGGAGGAACACCAGUGGCGAAGGCGGCUCUCUGGUCUGUAACUGACGCUGAGGUGCGAAAGCGUGGGGAUCAAACAGGAUUAGAUACCCUGGUAGUCCACGCCGUAAACGAUGAGUGCUAAGUGUUGGGGGGUUUCCGCCCCUCAGUGCUGCAGCUAACGC